GGGGGUGGAUGUGGCCCGGUGGCUGCCCUGGUCUUCAAAACCAGUGGGACGUUGCGCAGAGCAAGGUCCGGUGGGUUCGACUCCCAUGCACUCCCG
Molecule: transfer RNA, 96 nt
Filed under: Chloroflexota bacterium
Lineage: Bacteria; Bacillati; Chloroflexota
Description: tRNA-Sec
Rfam family: Selenocysteine transfer RNA
Source: RNAcentral